CUACACGAGUGCUCACUGGCAACGCUGGAUCCUUAACCUGCCUACCGAGCAAGGCAAGAGAUGGAACCCGCAUCCUCAUGGAUGCUAGUCAGGUUCCUAACCUGCUGUGCUACAAUGGGAACUCUGAGAAGUAUUCAAUUUUUAGACACAGGGGCUGUGUCUCAGAGUACAGAGUGGUUGAAUGGACGGCUGGAAUUCAGACAUCAGUUACUGGAAAGAAUGGAAGUUAAAAAUAAAGCGGCUGGGAUCCAUAGAAGUUGAUGCUGCAGGUCUGCAUGAUGAAAAGUGUCGUAGAGAGUUCUUGAGUCUGAAGGCCAAUGAUAUCAGAUGGAAAGUGGGAUCUACAACAUGAAAGAACGGCGUUGGAAAUGAUAAAUAUAUGGGCCCACUCACCAGACCACCCACACUGGGUGGACUUACCCUCUUUCCUGGGAGAAGAAUGAGGUUCUUGGAAUCGUCUCUAGUUGGGGGAAGGCAGUGAUUGUGUCAAACAGCCGUAUGGAGAGGUCUGCAUAGGGAAGAACUGAAGUCUACCAAAACCCACAGGAAUAAUCUUGGAUGUGGACACUCUAUCCCCAGAGAAGAAACAUGAUGUACCAGCAAAACUUUAGUCUGCAAAGGAUCAUGAGCCAAUAAGCUGCAAUUGUUGCUUUGAAAAGGCAGAAGCAAAAGAAGAGUUGAUGGAGAUACCAGGCAUGAAAGGGUCGUAAGUUCUGGGCUUUCCAAUAAUAAGCUAUUCUCCUCCAGAUGAUUUUAAUAAUCUCCAGCACAUGUGUUCUAACCCCUUGAUGCUGUACAAUAUGUGUAACUAAAUAAAAGAUCUCUCCAGAUUCAGAGAUUUACUGUUUGUGAUGGGAAAAGGCCAACCAGAUGACAUCAUUUAUAUUCCAAAUAUGAGCUGCUGCCAAGGCUGGUGAUGUUAAGCUGGAGAAAUUGAUCCUUAGUGUUAUUCUAUGAAAGAAAAGAGAAAAAGGUCUUGGCCUAGAUAGUGUAAUUUUUAAAAAUUUAUGUGAAUUUGAAGAUGAGUUUAAUAAACUUCUAUUUUAUCUAGAAUUGCUUAUGUGCAAUGCAUGGGCUGUUUAGGUACACAAUUACUUCCAUAUAUAAAGUUAGCAGGUUAGAGGAUAAGAAUUACCAUUUUGCCGUUGUUGUUGUUGAAUGGAUAAUCGGUGGUGGUGGGGAUUGACCUGAGGCCUGUCUGCCCCAGCAGAACACACAAGGCAUCAGGGCUGUGCUCACUUGUUCAAAAGCAAAGGUGCCCACUUUGUAAGUGGAGUGUGACAGUCUCUGCUCCCAUCCUUCAACCUCUUCCUUUCUAACAGAACCAUGUUUUCUUUUCAUAUAUCCACAUCCUCCACUACUACGGAAUGCAGAGAAGUUGACACCAUUCCCAGUUUCAAAGGUAGAUCUUGAUUAAUCUAGACCAACAAACACAUGGCAUUCCCCCCAUGACCAGGGAUUCAGGAGUGACUUGUGAGUGUAAUCAGACAAAGGAAAGGACUUAGAUUCCAUACUUGAGGAAAAGGAUUUUCCUUUUCUCUCCUGAGAGAUUAUAACAAAUAGGAAUAGAUCCCUACUUGCUGUUGGCAUCUGUUUUAUAAUUUCAAGAGGGAGUCAAGUUUAGAAUAAGGCCGCCACUGGGGAUGGCUGAUUGAAAAACAAAGUCCUCAACUAUAUCUUUGAGCCUCUGAUUGUGCUGUGCUUUUGCUAUCCUUAAACUUUUAUGUAAAUAUUGCUUUCCCUUAUUAUUUAAGCCAGCUUGCAUUUCUGUUGCUUAUACCUGAAAUCGUCCUGGUUGGAAGAGGUGACAAAAUUUGAUUUCUGAGAUCCCAUCAGCACUUUUUUUUUUGGGGGGGGGCAUACUCUCAUGGCAUUUUUGAAGACAGAGAGUUUUGAGUCUGUGUUGAAUGGCUUUGUGUGCUGUCUCCACACACAGAGUGACUUUCUAAAAUAAGGAGUACUCAUAAUACUCCCUGGCAUCUUGAUCUUUACUCCUUCCAGCCUCGUCUCAGCCAUACUCAUCAGCCCCGCUACCACCUUUCAGUUACUCGGACGUGUUCUCCUUUCUCUCACCUCCAGCCUUGCUCAUGCUCUUCCACUGACUCUAGCAAACUCCUUGACAGCCUCCUUCCCCAUACUUCCCCUCUAUCAAGUCUUGACCUGGGCAUCAUUUCCCCCGGGAAGCCUUCCCUUUGUUGGUCUUCCUAAUACUACCCUAACGUCCUAU
RNAcentral lists this long non-coding RNA (2227 nucleotides) under Sus scrofa (pig). Its description in RNAcentral is "lncRNA (ENSSSCG00025001339.1)". The record is from RNAcentral. Lineage: Eukaryota; Metazoa; Chordata; Mammalia; Artiodactyla; Suidae.